Molecule: ribosomal RNA, 395 nt
Filed under: uncultured eukaryote
Lineage: Eukaryota
Description: partial 18S ribosomal RNA
Rfam family: Eukaryotic small subunit ribosomal RNA
Source: RNAcentral
CAAUAGUGUAUAUUAAAGUUGUUGCAGUUAAAAAGCUCGUAGUCGAAUGUAGGGUCUUAGAUGCUGAAAUGUCUUUUAUAAUUAGGAGACAAAAUAAUUUUAGCGUGUUAGAUUCUUUUUUACCAAUGCCUUUUUGUUUUUUAUUAAACACAAUCGGUAAAUUGGUAAUUUUUACUGUGAAUAAAUUAGAGUGUUCAUGGCAGGCCUAGGGCUUAAAUAUCUCAGCAUGGAAUAAUAGAAUAGGACUUCUGGUUCUAUUUUAUUGGUUUUUGGAGCCGAAGUAAUGAUUAAUAGGAAUAGUUGGGGGCACUCGUACUCCGUUGUCAGAGGUGAAAUUCUUGGAUUUACGGAAGACGAACAAAUGCGAAAGCAUCUGCCAAGGAUGUUUNCAUUGA